RNAcentral lists this ribosomal RNA (440 nucleotides) under uncultured bacterium. RNAcentral describes it as "partial 16S ribosomal RNA". It matches the Rfam family "Bacterial small subunit ribosomal RNA", at positions 338 to 795 of the family's 1533-position model. The record is from RNAcentral.
CCUACGGGUGGCAGCAGUGGGGAAUAUUGCACAAUGGGGGAAACCCUGAUGCAGCGACGCCGCGUGAGUGAAGAAGUACCUCGGCACGUAAAGCUCUAUCAGCAGGGAAGAAAAUGACGGUACCUGACUAAGAACCCCCGGCUAACUACGUGCCAGCAGCCGCGGUAAUACGUAGGGGGCAAGCGUUAUCCGGUUUUACUGGGUGUAAAGGGGGCGUAGACGGCAGCGCAAGUCUGGAGUGAAAUCCCGGGGCGUAACCCCGGAACUGCUUUGGAAACUGGGCGGCUGGAGUGCAGGAGGGGUAGGCGGAAUUCCUGGUGUAGCGGUGAAAUGCGUAGAUAUUAGGAGGAACACCGGUGGCGAAGGCGGCUGACUGGACUGUAACUGACGUUGAGGCUCGAAAGCGUGGGGAGCAAACAGGAUUAGAGACCCGGGUAGUC